GCCGCUAAACCCGCGUCCACCGACGCCCUNCGAGUGAC
Molecule: ribosomal RNA, 38 nt
Filed under: Magnaporthiopsis poae
Lineage: Eukaryota; Fungi; Ascomycota; Sordariomycetes; Magnaporthales; Magnaporthaceae
Description: partial 28S ribosomal RNA
Source: RNAcentral